GCAGCAUUGGUGUAAUGGUAACAUACGACGUUGCCAUCGUCGUGCCCCGAGUUCGAUUCUCGGAUGCUGCA
Transfer RNA from Fistulifera solaris, 71 nucleotides. It matches the Rfam family "tRNA". From Rfam's summary of the family: Transfer RNA (tRNA) molecules are approximately 80 nucleotides in length. Their secondary structure includes four short double-helical elements and three loops (D, anti-codon, and T loops). Further hydrogen bonds mediate the characteristic L-shaped molecular structure. tRNAs have two regions of fundamental functional importance: the anti-codon, which is responsible for specific mRNA codon recognition, and the 3' end, to which the tRNAs corresponding amino acid is attached (by aminoacyl-tRNA synthetases). tRNAs cope with the degeneracy of the genetic code in two manners: having more than one tRNA (with a specific anti-codon) for a particular amino acid; and 'wobble' base-pairing, i.e. permitting non-standard base-pairing at the 3rd anti-codon position. The record is from Rfam. Lineage: Eukaryota; Bacillariophyta; Bacillariophyceae; Naviculales; Stauroneidaceae.